CCCAAUUAGUCGGGGAGCAUGACUCAUAGAGGAUAUGCUGAGAUCGAAUUCGAGACCCGUUGAACCUGAUUCAGUUAAUACUGACGUAGGGAACUAGUCACAUCUUGUC
Molecule: non-coding RNA, 109 nt
Filed under: Vibrio hippocampi
Lineage: Bacteria; Pseudomonadati; Pseudomonadota; Gammaproteobacteria; Vibrionales; Vibrionaceae
Description: TPP
Rfam family: TPP riboswitch aptamer (THI element)
About the family: Vitamin B(1) in its active form thiamin pyrophosphate (TPP) is an essential coenzyme that is synthesised by coupling of pyrimidine and thiazole moieties in bacteria. The previously detected thiamin-regulatory element, thi box was extended, resulting in a new, highly conserved RNA secondary structure, the THI element, which is widely distributed in eubacteria and also occurs in some archaea.
Source: RNAcentral